GAUGAACGCUGGCGGCGUGCCUAAUACAUGCAAGUAGAACGCUGAAGGAGGAGCUUGCUCUUCUGGAUGAGUUGCGAACGGGUGAGUAACGCGUAGGUAACCUGCCUGGUAGCGGGGGAUAACUAUUGGAAACGAUAGCUAAUACCGCAUGACAACAGUUAUUGCAUGAUAACUGUUUAAAAGGGGCAACUGCUCCACUACCAGAUGGACCUGCGUUGUAUUAGCUAGUUGGUGAGGUAACCGCUCACCAAGGCGACGAUACAUAGCCGACCUGAGAGGGUGAUCGGCCACACUGGGACUGAGACACGGCCCAGACUCCUACGGGAGGCAGCAGUAGGGAAUCUUCGGCAAUGGACGGAAGGCUGACCGAGCAACGCCGCGUGAGUGAAGAAGGUUGUCGGAUCGUAAAGCUCUGUUGUAAGAGAAGAACGAGUGUGAGAGUGGAAAGUUCACACUGUGACGGUAUCUUACCAGAAAGGGACGGCUAACUACGUG
RNAcentral lists this ribosomal RNA (495 nucleotides) under uncultured bacterium. RNAcentral describes it as "partial 16S ribosomal RNA". It matches the Rfam family "Bacterial small subunit ribosomal RNA", at positions 28 to 507 of the family's 1533-position model. The record is from RNAcentral.